RNAcentral lists this non-coding RNA (45 nucleotides) under Schistosoma margrebowiei. The record is from RNAcentral. Lineage: Eukaryota; Metazoa; Platyhelminthes; Trematoda; Strigeidida; Schistosomatidae.
CGAUGCUGAGGAGUCCCAUACUAGGACGAAACGGCCGUCCAGUAC